CAGUAGCCGCGGGAAAACGUAGGUGGCAAGCGCUGUCCGGAAUUAUUGGGCGUAAAGGGCUCGCAGGCGGUUUCUUAAGUCUGAUGUGAAAGCCCCCGGCUCAACCGGGGAGGGUCAUUGGAAACUGGGAAACUUGAGUGCAGAAGAGGAGAGUGGAAUUCCACGUGUAGCGGUGAAAUGCGUAGAGAUGUGGAGGAACACCAGUGGCGAAGGCGACUCUCUGGUCUGUAACUGACGCUGAGGAGCGAAAGCGUGGGGAGCGAACAGGAUUAGAUACCCGCGUAGUCCCUGUCUCUUAUAC
Molecule: ribosomal RNA, 301 nt
Filed under: uncultured bacterium
Lineage: Bacteria
Description: partial 16S ribosomal RNA
Rfam family: Bacterial small subunit ribosomal RNA
Source: RNAcentral